Molecule: transfer RNA, 73 nt
Filed under: Candidatus Hinthialibacter antarcticus
Lineage: Bacteria; Candidatus Hinthialibacterota; Candidatus Hinthialibacteria; Candidatus Hinthialibacterales; Candidatus Hinthialibacteraceae
Description: tRNA-Lys
Rfam family: tRNA
About the family: Transfer RNA (tRNA) molecules are approximately 80 nucleotides in length. Their secondary structure includes four short double-helical elements and three loops (D, anti-codon, and T loops).
Source: RNAcentral
GGGCCAUUAGCUCAAUUGGUAGAGCGUCCGACUCUUAAUCGGCAGGUUAUAGGUUCAAUUCCUAUAUGGCCCA